AUACGGAGGGUGCAAGCGUUGUUCGGAAUUACUGGGCGUAAAGGGCGCGCAGGCGGCCUGCCAAGUCAGAUGUGAAAUGCCAUGGCUUAACCAUGGACGUGCAUUUGAAACUGGUGGGCUUGAGUACCAGAGGGGAAGGUGGAAUUCCCGGUGUAGAGGUGAAAUUCGUAGAUAUCGGGAGGAAUACCGGUGGCGAAGGCGACUUUCUGGCUGGAUACUGACGCUGAGGCGCGAAAGCGUGGGGAGCAAACAGGAUUAGAUACCCUGGUAGUCCACGCUGUAAACGAUGUGAACUAGAUGUAGGGGGUGUUGAUCCCCUCUGUGUCGGAGCUAACGCAUUAAGUUCACCGCCUGGGGAGUACGGUCGCAAGAUUAAAACUCAAAGGAAUUGACGGGG
RNAcentral lists this ribosomal RNA (397 nucleotides) under uncultured bacterium. RNAcentral describes it as "partial 16S ribosomal RNA". It matches the Rfam family "Bacterial small subunit ribosomal RNA", at positions 523 to 918 of the family's 1533-position model. The record is from RNAcentral.